UACGUAGGGUGCAAGCGUUGUCCGGAAUUAUUGGGCGUAAAGAGCUCGUAGGCGGUUUGUCGCGUCGGCUGUGAAAACCCGGGGCUCAACCCCGGGCCUGCAGUCGAUACGGGCAAACUAGAGUGUGGUAGGGGAGACUGGAAUUCCUGGUGUAGCGGUGAAAUGCGUAGAUAUCGGGAGGAAUACCUAUGGCGAAGGCAGGUUACUGGGCCAUCACUGACGCUGAGCUGCGAAAGCUAGGGGAGCAAACAGG
RNAcentral lists this ribosomal RNA (253 nucleotides) under uncultured bacterium. RNAcentral describes it as "partial 16S ribosomal RNA". It matches the Rfam family "Bacterial small subunit ribosomal RNA", at positions 524 to 776 of the family's 1533-position model. The record is from RNAcentral.